RNAcentral lists this ribosomal RNA (336 nucleotides) under Ehrlichia chaffeensis. RNAcentral's name for it is "bacterial SSU rRNA". It matches the Rfam family "Bacterial small subunit ribosomal RNA", at positions 113 to 484 of the family's 1533-position model. The record is from RNAcentral. Lineage: Bacteria; Pseudomonadati; Pseudomonadota; Alphaproteobacteria; Rickettsiales; Anaplasmataceae.
AUGCGUAGGAAUCUACCUAGUAGUAUGGAAUAGCCAUUAGAAAUGAUGGGUAAUACUGUAUAAUCCCUGCGGGGGAAAGAUUUAUCGCUAUUAGAUGAGCCUACGUUAGAUUAGCUAGUUGGUAAGGUAAUGGCUUACCAAGGCUAUGAUCUAUAGCUGGUCUGAGAGGACGAUCAGCCACACUGGAACUGAGAUACGGUCCAGACUCCUACGGGAGGCAGCAGUGGGGAAUAUUGGACAAUGGGCGAAAGCCUGAUCCAGCUAUGCCGCGUGAGUGAAGAAGGCCUUCGGGUUGUAAAACUCUUUCAAUAGGGAAGAUAAUGACGGUACCUAUAA